RNAcentral lists this ribosomal RNA (454 nucleotides) under Bidessini gen. sp. BI-2011. Its description in RNAcentral is "partial 16S ribosomal RNA". It matches the Rfam family "Bacterial large subunit ribosomal RNA", at positions 1806 to 2534 of the family's 2925-position model. Lineage: Eukaryota; Metazoa; Arthropoda; Insecta; Coleoptera; Dytiscidae. The record is from RNAcentral.
AACAAAAACAUGUCCUUUAGAUAUGAAUUAAAGGUUUAACCUGCCCAUUGAUUUUUUAACGGCCGCAGUAAAUUGACUGUGCAAAGGUAGCAUAAUCAUUAGUUUUUUAAUUGAAAGCUUGUAUGAAUGGUUGGACGAGAUAUAUACUGUCUUUAAUUAAUAUGUAGAAUUUAAUUUUUAAGUUAAAAAGCUUAAAUUAAAUUAAAAGACGAGAAGACCCUAUAGAUCUUUAUAUUUAAUUUAGUAUAAUUUUUUAGGAUUUUUAAUGGUUAUAAUAAUUUAAUUAUUUUAUUGGGGUAAUAGGAAGAUAAAAUAAAUUCUUUUUUUAAUAAACAAUAAUUUUUGGUUUUAAUGGUCCAAUAGUUUUGAUUAUAAGAUAAAGUUACCUUAGGGAUAACAGCGUAAUUUUUUUAAAGAGUUCUUAUCGAUAAAAAAGUUUGCGACCUCGAUGUUG